This is a long non-coding RNA of Lates calcarifer (barramundi perch), 245 nucleotides long. RefSeq lists it as uncharacterized. The transcript is spliced from 3 exons. The record is from RefSeq and is a predicted model, not a curated record. Lineage: Eukaryota; Metazoa; Chordata; Actinopteri; Centropomidae.
UGAGAAAACGUCGUUGCCGAGGAAGCGUGGAUGCUAAAACUAACUCUGGAGCUGUUUUUUUGUCGAACACGAGUGAGACUGAAUGCUGAAUUCAUUUGCGGCGCGAAGGUUUACUCGUUCAGCUGCUGCAGCCUGGACAGGAAGACCAGUUCUCACCUUACAAACCAAACAGGUGUCACCACUUCGUCCACGAUCAGAGUCUUCACACAAUGAAGUUAUUUGAAACCAGAACAGAGGCCUCCAGG